UACAACCCUUUACGAGUAUCAAUUGGAGGGCAAGUCUGGUGCCAGCAGCCGCGGUAAUUCCAGCUCCAAUAGCGUAUAUUAAAGUUGUUGCAGUUAAAAAGCUCGUAGUUGAAUUUCUGUCUAGAAGAUCCUGCACGGCUUAUGUCGAAGCAUGGUUUCUUCUUGGCAUAACCUCAAAAACCGAGUGCACUUAACGGUGUGUUCGGAAUUUGGGGACUUUACUUUGAGAAAAUUAGAGUGCUUAAAGCAGGC
Molecule: ribosomal RNA, 252 nt
Filed under: Cryptosporidium sp. Morro Bay Non-Crypto-2
Lineage: Eukaryota; Apicomplexa; Conoidasida; Eucoccidiorida; Cryptosporidiidae
Description: partial 18S ribosomal RNA
Rfam family: Eukaryotic small subunit ribosomal RNA
Source: RNAcentral